GUAACAACCACAUUGCUGUCGUUUAUUUAGCUUGUUUUUCGACUUUGCGCUUGGCGUGGCUGCCGCAGCCGCUGCCGAAGCGCGUGCCCUGCAAUUAUUUUUUUUUUUUUGCAUUAACUUGUGCGUUUGAACUCAUCUGUGAAUGUGCGUUUUAUAUAAAGUCAAAUCGUAGUUGGCUACGCUUGUUGAAAGUUGAAAAUAUACUGCCAGGCACAGGCACAAGCAUUCUUCUAAAAGUCGACAGCUCGCGCCCGUGUGUAUCUACAUACAUACAUAUAUAUCGUGCCUCGCUUGUGCCGUCGCGUUCCGCGUACCUUGCCAUACGUUUACUAAUCCAGUGACCUUCGCUUUGGGGUUUUUUUCUUUUGCAUUUGCAGGGCAGCAACGACAGAGCCUCCAGAUCGCCGCGUUCGGAUGACCAGCGCGAUAUCGGCGAGAUGCCAGUCACAAAGCGUUCACGCUCGGACUCGGUAAUUGCAGACUUCAUAAACGCACGAUGAUCUCAAGUGAGGUGAGAAUUGACAUCGAUCAAGAGAUGCCGCCCCCCAAAAUAGAGUAUUGCCAAUAACAACUGCUACUACCAAGAUACAUCAGCACCCGAUACGGGAACGAAUUGCAUUUAAUUGCUUUUAACAACAUUUUUUGCCGAUUUCAACGUCCACGUCGCGGUUCCCGCACUCGAGCUGCUUCGUCGUCGUCGUCGUCGUCGCCUCCGUCUCCGUCUCCCGCCUUCAUAUGUGCUGCGACAACGCGUUGGACUGAUCCGCCCCACAGCCAGAAUUAGUCGUUUUUUUUAUUGUUUUUUUUUACUAUAUUUAAUUAUCAACAUUGAAGUUGGGCGCGUGUCUUUUCGUGUCACGACCAUUGAAAAUUUCGUGAGUGUCAGUGUUGAGCAGUAGUUAAAAGUGACGUUAAUUUUUGAAAUUGCAAAUGUACCAAAUGAAGACAAUAUUUUCCAAAUUGAAAAACAUCACUUUUUAAAAGGGAAUGAAUUAAUUAUUAAAAACACAUAAUUAUUGCUUGUUAUUCAUAACAAAUCAACAAAUUGUCCGAUAGGCCAAAGAGAGCUACUGUUAAAUCUAAAUAUGUAUAUAAAUUUAUGCAUAUUUAUAUGUGAUCUCCAAAUGAUUUAAAAUAUAUAGAAGCUUUAUUAGUUAGCCGCGCAAUCAAAAACCCAACGUGAAAUAUUUAAAGUAAAAUAUACACAUAGUACAUACACAUAUAUAUGACAAAAUCACACACAACACAUACAUACACACACCAACACACACACACACACACAACAUGAUUAAGGUACGGCGGAAAAACUUAACCAACUUAAAAACAUAUUGUUGCUCUUAUUAUCGUUUCAGCGUCUUGUUUUCUUUUUAUUUUUCUCUUUUUUAUCACUGAGCAAUGUAAUGUGUGACCCUUCAAGUCAAUAUACCACGCCCCCAACUCAUGGAAACCGUAUCGAAACGCACAUAUAUAAGGUCGCUUAUAAUUUCUAUUUUUAUAAUACAUUUACAGGAAUUGUGCACACCGUUAUGCCAGCUUUCCAACACUGUACACAACGUUGAUAACUAUUGAAUUUUGACUUCAGUUCGUUUUGUAAGCCCUGGGGUGUUGAACCUAUUUUUUGUUACAGUGUGCACAGUUCUUGGGUAUUUUCUUCUUUGGUUUCGAUUUGUGCGGCGACGAUUUGCCGGCUGGAUGUCCGUUGGAAGAGCUUUAAAUGAUAUUUCGAUUGAUAUACUCGCUAUAACUGCAUUUAUCUCUAAUCUACGCACACACACACACACCACUCACACACACACACACAGUCGUACUUUUAUUAGCACAGCCUACGUAUACUUAGAAAUAUUAGGCUAAUUUAUGUCUUAUUUUUACGGGUGCUUUCUUUUUAAUCUUGCAUUUUCCAGCUUUUACGAAUGACAAAUCAAAUGCCUUGCAGUCCGUCAGGCAAUAUCCUAUAUCCAUUUACGUAAAUUCAAAUCAUUUAUUUAAUUCAAAAACAUAAACUAACGAGGCAAAAGACGAAAUACUAAGUGUUGUUAGUACGCAAAAAAUACCGAUAAACGAUAACAGUUUGAAAAAAAUACUGCAUUUAAACGUAACGAGUAAUGUGCAUCGACAGCUUUUAAUUGUCAUAUUGUGUUGUAGCCUCUCGAAUCUCUGUGACUGAAUCAUCUGCCGGUUGGCAAUUGGCCCGCGCACAAGCAGUUCCAGAUCUUCUCCAGAACGCACACAAACACACACGCACACAUACACACACAGUUACAUAUAUGUAUAAACUACUACAAUAUAUGUAUGUAGUUUCUUCGCCGGCCAGCAAAACUGUUGAUUAUGAUUAAUGAUUUUUUUUCUAUUUUUUCCUUUUUGUCUUUUAUCUUUCUUGCAGGCAUCGGUUUUUUGUUUGUGUCGCUUCAAAUGCCAACUCGCGCACCAUUGCCUUGGCCCGAUUGCUGUGCCCCUCCUCGCUUGGUGAUGGUCACAGCAAUUGGGCCAACUCUGGUCUCGAGCUGCUGCUGGAGUCGACACAGACCUCAUAAAAAGAAAACAAAAAUCAAAUCAAAACGAAUCAAAGAAAAAAGUCGUAUAAAAAACCAAAUUGCUUAAACGAUCCGCUUAGCGCUGAUCGGUUCGAUGAUGAGCCCAUUGUCAUCAUAUCAUAUGAGAUACACUAAUCUGUCCUCCCAAUUCUAGGCAAGUCAGCGGACACGAAAAUUCCCUACCUUUCGCAGCCACUGUAUGAUCUGAAACAGACGGGCGAUGUGAAAUUCGGACCU
This is an RNA transcript of Drosophila novamexicana, 2768 nucleotides long. It is a transcript of the gene named poly(U)-binding-splicing factor half pint, with no coding region annotated. Lineage: Eukaryota; Metazoa; Arthropoda; Insecta; Diptera; Drosophilidae. The record is from RefSeq and is a predicted model, not a curated record. The transcript has 3 exons.